GUUGAGUGUCUGACUUCCUCUCAGGUCAUGAUCUCAUGGUUCCCAAGUUCAAGCUCCAUUGUCAGACUCUGUGCUGACAGCUCAGAGCCUGGAGCCUGCUUCAGAUUCUGUGUCCCCCUCUCUGUCUGCCCCUCCCCCACUCAUGCUCUGUCUCUAUCUCUCUC
This is a long non-coding RNA of Prionailurus viverrinus (fishing cat), 164 nucleotides long. RefSeq lists it as uncharacterized. Lineage: Eukaryota; Metazoa; Chordata; Mammalia; Carnivora; Felidae. The record is from RefSeq and is a predicted model, not a curated record. The transcript has 2 exons.